UCCAUCGUGGUGUAGUGGCUAACAUUGCUGUCUUUCAUAGUUGAUAUGAUGCGUUGCGAAUGCACAGCAGCCCGGGGUUCGAUUCCCCGCGAUGGAA
This is a non-coding RNA of Dendrothele bispora CBS 962.96, 97 nucleotides long. The record is from the annotation of a GenBank genome assembly. Lineage: Eukaryota; Fungi; Basidiomycota; Agaricomycetes; Agaricales.